RNAcentral lists this ribosomal RNA (977 nucleotides) under Pyura vittata. RNAcentral describes it as "SSU rRNA". It matches the Rfam family "Eukaryotic small subunit ribosomal RNA", at positions 614 to 1618 of the family's 1831-position model. The record is from RNAcentral. Lineage: Eukaryota; Metazoa; Chordata; Ascidiacea; Stolidobranchia; Pyuridae.
UGCGGUUGAAAAGCUCGUAGUUGGAUCUUGGGCGAGUGCCGCCGGUCCGUCGCAAGGCGUGUCACUGGCGGCGCUUGCCUCUACGUCGGUUCUCCGUCGGUGCUCUUGACUGAGUGUCGCGGUGGCCGAGAAGUUUACUUUGAAAAAAUUAGAGUGUUCAAAGCAGGCUGGUCGCUUGCAUAGUGUUGCAUGGAAUAAUGGAAUAGGACCUCGGUUCUAUUUUGUUGGUUUUCGGAGCGCGAGGUAAUGAUCAAGAGGGACAGACGGGGGCGUCCGUACUCUGCCGUUAGAGGUGAAAUUCUUGGAUCGGCGGAAGACGAACUACUGCGAAAGCAUUCGCCAAGAAUGUUUUCUUUAAUCAAGAGCGAAAGUCAGAGGUUCGAAGACGAUCAGAUACCGUCCUAGUUCUGACUAUAAACGAUGCCAACUAGCGAUCGGGAGGCGUUACCAUGACGACCUUCCCGGCAGCUUCCGGGAAACCAAAGUCUUUGGGUUCCGGGGGAAGUAUGGUUGCAAAGCUGAAACUUAAAGGAAUUGACGGAAGGGCACCACCAGGAGUGGAGCCUGCGGCUUAAUUUGACUCAACACGGGGAAACUCACCCGGCCCGGACACAGGAAGGAUUGACAGAUUGAGAGCUCUUUCUUGAUUCUGUGGGUGGUGGUGCAUGGCCGUUCUUAGUUGGUGGAGCGAUUUGUCUGGUUAAUUCCGAUAACGAACGAGACUCUGGCAUGCUAAAUAGUUACGCGACCUUCUCGGUCGGCGUUUAACUUCUUAGAGGGACUAGUGGCGCUUAGCCAACGAGAUUGAGCAAUAACAGGUCUGUGAUGCCCUUAGAUGUUCGGGGCCGCACGCGCGCUACACUGAAUGGAGCAGCGAGUGCACUGCCUAGGCCGAAAGGUCCGGGUAACCCGUUGAACCCCAUUCGUGAUUGGGAUAGGGACUUGCAAUUAUUUCCCUUGAACGAGGAAUUCCCAGU